Long non-coding RNA from Alligator sinensis (Chinese alligator), 1951 nucleotides. RefSeq lists it as uncharacterized. NCBI's taxonomy places the organism in Eukaryota, Metazoa, Chordata, Crocodylia, Alligatoridae. The record is from RefSeq and is a predicted model, not a curated record. The transcript has 3 exons.
AGAUACAGACACUCCAUUUCAAAGCCUUGAGUCACUCCUCUCGCCCACCCUCUCCCAGUCACUGGACACCAAAAGAAAGAGCUGUGCAUCGUAGAUGCCACGACAUCACUCACAAGACACAAUCAAUGUAGAAGGGGACUGCUGUUUGGAGAGGGAAGGGAAUUAAGUGACUGCUGCCCUAGACCGGGUGCAUGGAGCUCUCUCUGAAGAGGCACACAGAGGGUCCUUGAUUUUCCAGGUUGCCAGCUGGCCCUUUCCCAGAAAAAUGUCUCUUCAGCAACACUUCAGAAUUAAAAGCCCCAGUCCUAGAAGGAGGUGAGCCCAAGCGGGUUCCUGAAUAUAAAUGGAGCCGCACUGAGCUCAGCGGGACGGCUUGCAGGUGUAAAGGUGUCGCCCAACUGCAGGGUCUGUGCCUUAUUUAGACAUGGUCAGUAGGGGUAUCAGUCAGUAGGCACAAGAAGGGUUUAGGGAAGAGGACAAUUACAGAAAUGUUUUUCAGUUAAGAUUUCAGCAAAUCAAGGUGGUUCAGUCUGAAGUGUUUUCAAGCCACUGCAAACUGCCAUAAAUCACAGCAAACAUAAAAUCUAGCAAAAUCACCUCUGCAUUAUCAGCAGUGCCCUUGAUGUAUAGCCUGACAAACAGCUCUAGCUGCUCCAUAGAGUAAGGGUGCUCUAACCCCAAGCUCUUCCAACUUCAAAAUAUAUGAAGUCUCUGAACAUUUCAUGGCCCCUAAAAAAUUCCCAAGACAAUGCAGUAAGUUUACCAUGAGUCAUAACGAACCAUGACAAUUAAUAACAGGAAUAAAAUCCCUACUCAAAUCCUCCGAGCAUAAAACAAAAGCUUUCCUGUUAUAAACAUAGAACCAGGCUGAAUUGCUUAAUUCCACCCAACAAAACUACAGAUCCUCGCUCCCACUGGGGAGCUUUAUAUGGCAGUUAUCAAAAAUCCAAUAUAUGAGACCAAACAGGCAUGGAGGAACCCAGACUUUCCAAAUUAAGCCCUCAGAGAAUCUCUUUAAAUCCAUCAGAGAACCUAAAAGCCAUUAAUCUAUCAACCGACUCUAGAUUCUUCCCAUAACUUUAUAUCCAAGUCAAUCAAAAGUGCCCCUCCUUUACUGAUGAUAAAUCCUUGAGGUCUUUUUGGUCUUAUUAAAAGUAUAGGCCCGGGUGGCAGGAGAGGUGUAUUCUGUUGUGUGUCUUUACAAUGGCCUUGGUGCAUAAUCCUGGCUUAACCUCUCAAUGCCUUGGUUUCCCCCACCUGUUCUGGAUAACAAUAGUGAUUUACUUCAUAGAGCUUCUGUGAGGCUCUGUUUGUCUCUGUGAUGCAUUAUUUUUUAUCACAGCUACAACCAGUCCCACCUGCCCAAGCAAAGCACAUUACCUGCACUAUGAUUUCUGUGCGACUCAAAAACCCUUCUUUUUUCCGCUUAGGAGCGAUUCUCUUCUCCCCGUGACCAGAUUUGGAGUGCGAUACUCAGGCAGUGCUCUAGGUUUAGAUCCCACAAAGAUAAAAUUUGACGAGGCCAAAUGCCUAGUGUGGGGUCAUCGGUAAAUAAGAAAGUCUCUAUAACAUAAGGGACUUCUUCAUGUGGUAAAAUCAUUCUGCUUGUGAGACAAUGGCACAAAGCACAGAUAGACUGAGGAGCCCAUCAUUAGCAUUUGUAUAUUGGACAACAUUGUGAAGUGAAUAUAUUUCCACCCAGGCUACUUUAGGGAGCUGCCGACAGAAACAAAUGCAAAGAGAAAGCGGUAUAGAGCCUUAAAUGCAGUGUCCGUCUAUUUUAUUUGGGGAAAAAACCUGUUAUUGUAUCAGAUAAAGUUUUGUAAUGAAUGGCUAGGCUCAUAAAAGAGUGUGCAGUUUGUGGAUGCUUUAUUCUGUCUAGACUUUCUUCUUUCUGUAAUAAAACCUAAUGGCAAAGUAGACAAUGGCUAUAUUUACCAUUCGUCCAUCA